UCAUGGCGGGGCGCCAUGUCCGCCCAGGGGGCGUGGCCUCUUGAAGGUCGCGCGCCAGCUCGAGGCCGUCUAUUGGCCGAGAGGCGGGGCGUCGCGCAUGCGCUCUGCCCUCCCGCGACCCGCUUUAUAGACGCGCGGCGGCAGGCUGGGGACCGGCAUGGCGGGGCUGCUGUGGGGCUGGUGGUGCUGCUGCGCGCGGUCCGCCCGCUGCCCACCUCUGCGUCCGGCAACGGUUCCCUGGCUCAGUGCCUACCCGAGCAGUUCCACUGUUCGGAGCCGUACGACCCCCAGACCGACUGCUACCCCCUGGAAUGGCUCUGCGACGGUCAUCCCGACUGCGAUGAUGGACGGGACGAAUGGAGCUGCGGAACGAACUGGAGCACCGCGGUGCCCACCGCCGGCGGUACGGAGGCUUCAGCUGUCCCUUCACCCAGGCACGCUCUGCCAUCCAGGAAUCACGGCCGCAUGUGGAUGCUGAUCGUUGCAGUGCUCCUGAGCUGCCUGGUAGCUGUGGGUGGUAUCGCUGCAUGGGGGAAGUCUGAAGCAAAAAGCAGGUCUGACAUCUUCAGUCUCGAAAAUGUAUCCAGGGAGCAGUUGGUGCCUGACAAGAGCCAGGCAGACUUGUUCUCCUGACAGUUUGCCCUGAAGCAGCAGAGCUCUCCCCUUCCUUCCUCACUACCAGACAUGAGAGCUCAUUUGGCUGCAGGGAUUCCUGCGUGACCUGCUGUGAGAAGGUGCUGCCUUCUUUCAGUACUCUUACGCCCUUCCCUUGCUGCUGAGGGCUCUGAGCACUCGUGCUAGGACAGAUUUCCAGGUGGAUCUUUCACUGUGAGGUGGUAAGAUGGGACUGAACUGCUCUCCCUGCUGCUCACAACGGAAGCUGGCUGAAUUUGGACAUGAAUCUGAUUUGCUGUUACACUCAGAUCUCCCAUUGGAAAUGAAUCUUAGAUGGUGGCACUAUGGGACUGGAAAUAGGACAGGACCUUCCCCAGUGCUGUGAAAUCACCCCUCCGAAAGAUCACAGGAAUUCCCUCACUCUUUUUGCCUGCAAUGAUUAUUAUUGCUGCUUCUCAUCAACGUGGCCUUCAACCUGUAGGUUUAAUUCUCCAUGAAGGUGCAGUGCCAGGUGCUGUUCUACCACCCCUCUCAGCAGAGCUCACUGAACCCACACGCAUCAGAUGUGCACUCCCUGAGCCUCCUUUUGCUGGAGGUUUUGAGUGUUUGGUGUCUUGCUUUCAGCUUGAAAUAACGAGUUCCUUGGGUCAAAUGCUGUGAGCUCUGCUUUGUGGUUGUUUCUGCAUGGCUCUGUGCUGUGCUCUUUGUGUAACUGACAGUGUUGGAGUUGUGCUAUGUGACCCAACAGCAGCUCAGCACCACGCAGCCCCUCCUUCCCAGUCGGGGGGGAAGAAGAAAAAAAAGUAAUUAAUUUAUAUAUAUUUACAAAACAAAUGAUGCACAGUGAGUUUUCAGCAUCUGCUGACUGAUGCCCAGCUGGAGCACGGCGUGUUAGCAGCGUUCUUUAUUCCCCAAAGCCAAAACACAGCAUCAUACCAGACAAUGAGAACACCCAUCCUGUCCCAGCUGAAAGCAGGGCAGGAGAUUACUGACCCGUGCCUCUAAUUCAGUGCUGAGCUCUGUUCUGUGUGCUCCUUGCCAAGGGCUCAGCGAGUGCACAGAAGAUACAGAGCUGCUGGGCUGAGCAGAAGCUGCCCAUCAGCCUCAGAGCAGAGUGUUCUGCUCCUGUGUAGCAUGUAAGUGUGCAGCUGUAACCCAUGGCAGCACCUGGGCACAUUGCAGCUCAGUGUUCGUUGCACCAAAAGGUUGUGUGCAUGGCCUUGCCUCUGUUCCCAUAGGGACAAAUAGAGGUAGCUGCUGGGGAAUGAUAUGGGAGAAUAAAGAAUGAGAAGCUGGAAUGA
This is a non-coding RNA of Meleagris gallopavo (turkey), 1916 nucleotides long. Lineage: Eukaryota; Metazoa; Chordata; Aves; Galliformes; Phasianidae. The record is from RefSeq and is a predicted model, not a curated record.